Long non-coding RNA from Xenopus tropicalis (tropical clawed frog), 515 nucleotides. RefSeq lists it as uncharacterized. Lineage: Eukaryota; Metazoa; Chordata; Amphibia; Anura; Pipidae. The record is from RefSeq and is a predicted model, not a curated record. The transcript has 4 exons.
UAGUAUACUGAAAGUGGGAAAAAGGAGAUACACCGCAUUCAAGGAGGGGUAUGAAGGGAAGGAGACGGCACUCCUUGUGGAUAGAUACACAUUUAUGGACCUGUACCCCUGCUCCACAAGUGAACUGAAAGCUUUGGGAUACAAGGAUGUACCGAGAGCCAAACUGGCAGCACUAAUCCCAGACCCUGUGGUAGCUCCAUCCAUAGCCCCUUCGCUGAAAGACGAUGUUUAAAACCAGAGUAUCCCAAACCUGACACGUCCCAGAUGAUCCCUUUCCAGCCGCGACAUUUAGCUCCACCUGGACUCCAUCCUGUUCCUGGCGGAGUAUUCCCAGUCCCUCCAGCUGCAGUGAUCCUAAUGAAGCUGCUUCCUACCCCUAUUUACUUCCAGGAUCUUCCCUCACCCAUUUCUCCCACCCCUGAUUCCGACAAAUGAUGGCACUUAAUUUUAAUGAAACUGCUGAAUUGCAUCAAUAUGUCUCAGUAGGGCGGGCCUGAUACAUUCCAUUCAGGUAA